RNAcentral lists this ribosomal RNA (517 nucleotides) under Protopulvinaria pyriformis. RNAcentral describes it as "eukaryotic LSU rRNA". It matches the Rfam family "Eukaryotic large subunit ribosomal RNA", at positions 588 to 893 of the family's 3401-position model. Lineage: Eukaryota; Metazoa; Arthropoda; Insecta; Hemiptera; Coccidae. The record is from RNAcentral.
GCGUUUCUCACGUUUCGACGCGGACGGUACGUUUGCGCGCGGGUAUUCGAGGCGGUCCCUCGUCCGGCGUCUCGUACGUCGGACGGCACUCGCCUCGACGCCGGUCAGCGACGAAUCUUCGGGCCUCUUUCCGACCCGUCUUGAAACACGGACCAAGGAGUCUAGGGUGCGCGCGAGUCGCGGGGUAUCCGAGGAGUAAUGACCCUCGUCAAGAUACGAAACCCGUUCACGUACAUUGUACGAAGGCGUAAUGAAAGUGAAAGAGGGCGCCUCGCGCGUCCUCGGGGGAAGACGGUGCGCUGCGAAAUACGUUUCGCGAUCGUAUAUGUAUCGCGACCAGCCGCCCGCAUUCCCAGGGCGUCCCGCCUGUGCGACGGCGAUCGGGGCUCGCUCCGGUCGUCGACGAACUGGGGCGCACCUAUAGCGUGCACCCUGGUACCCGAAAGAUGGUGAACUAUGCCCGGCCAGGAUGAAGUCAGGGGAAACCCUGAUGGAGGUCCGCAGCGAUUCUGACGUG